Molecule: long non-coding RNA, 1334 nt
Filed under: Struthio camelus australis
Lineage: Eukaryota; Metazoa; Chordata; Aves; Struthioniformes; Struthionidae
Description: lncRNA (ENSSCUG00000014827.1)
Source: RNAcentral
CUAUUUUUAACCUGGAUGGGUUCUGUGAUUUGUUUCGCACACAGCAUUCAAACUGGCACAGCUGAGGGAAGAGCGAGCGCUGGGAACAGGAGAAGGGAAAGCAGGGGCUGCUUAUGUUGGCACUGCUACUAAAAGAAGUACUCAUCAAACUGAAGCCUCAGUCUCUUCGCAUCUCACAUCUGUAAAGUGGAAAUGAUGAUAGCCUCACAUCACCUCUCUGAAAGGAUCAAACUGGUAGCUGCCGUAAAAGCCUGUGUAACUUGUCAGAGCAAUUCUCUACCCUGGCAAGUUACACAAGCCGCGGAGCUGCUCUCUGCCCCUGGGCGUCCUGCCUCCCUCUGCCUUCUGCCUGCAUGGGUGACUCCUCCUCUCCGUCCUUCUUCAAAGGCAUCAGCUAUACUCACUUUUAGGGAAAUUGGCAGAAUUCUCCUUAGCUGCACCGCGGGACAUGUGGCCAAUGUGCUCUGGAGCGGGCCAGUCUGCCUCUCAGGUCUCAAUGGGUUUCGUGAACGAUGGAGGGACCCUUUGCUUCAGUGGCUGCCUUUGCUGCAAGAGAUGGGCCACGGCUCUGAGGUACCUUUAUGAUCCUCUGCUUCGAGAGUUGGCCUGGGACCAGUCCAGCACCUGAUCUCAGACGAUUUAUGGCCCUGGAGCGCAGCCACAUUCUCAUGGUUACAAAGGCGUGUGGACGCGGCCUGGCGCUGCCCUGUCCUCCCAGAGCAUGCGGGUGAGGAAGCGCAGGAGGUGUGAAAUGCUGGUGCUUGCAGUUGUGGUAACUAUUGAUCACCACCUCCGUGGGUUAUUGAAGGCAAAAGAUACAGUGAGAACACGACUGAGCUCCCUCACUUGCCCAAAAUCCACACGUGCCUCCAGGUGAUGCAAACCCUUCCUGGGACUUGACUGUAAUUACAAAUGUGUUUUUUCUUCACAAUAGUAGGUGCCAACUCUUCUUAAGGGGUUUAGCUGCUCCCACAGUUGCUCCUCAUAGCUGGCGGUGGCCCCUCCACUCUUUCUCCAGGGCUUGCUGUCGUUAGGUCCUGGUUGGAGACCAGCAUCCACUGACACUACUAGCCUGUGGAAACACUAACUUGUUUUUUAAGUAGAGAUUGGGUGUAAUAGUCAUUCAAUGAUUCAAUGAUCUCUGUCUUCCCUGAACAGAAAAUACAUGUCUGCCCUACCAAAGCCACUCUGCAGGCAGCAAACCUUUGCCAUAUGACAAGGAUAUAUAGACUGCUGUUACACUCUCGCUGCGCUGUGUGACUUUAGCUAGGAUGCUUAGCUAUGUAUUUCUCAACAGCAAUAAACAUACUAUUUUCUUAAUGAUGAUUUGUUUU